Molecule: long non-coding RNA, 2248 nt
Filed under: Triticum aestivum (bread wheat)
Lineage: Eukaryota; Viridiplantae; Streptophyta; Magnoliopsida; Poales; Poaceae
Description: long non-coding RNA (TAES_LNC025840)
Source: RNAcentral
AUAUUACAAUGAAUAACAUCAGCACGGUGACACUACGCCAUCCUCAAUUGCUCUAUGCAAGUAGUAGAACAACUCGAAGCAGCGGAAUAACUCUUGCAGCGGAACAACGACGACGGUGGUGAACUCCACUCCGCAUGGACUCUGGCUAGAACGCUUAUCCUAGCUCGCGAACACAGGAACAACACCAAAUAAGCAAGCAAUCCAGGCACGACCUGCAAACUGGCAUGACACACCAGGUCAGUACAUUGAAUGUACUUGCAAGCUCACAAUAACCAGAAGCAUUCAAGACAAACAACAACAUGGCAAUUACAGGUUAAGCAGGAAUUAUCAUGAAGUCCUCAGGAGAACAUGGCAUCAACAAUAUGAUACAGCUAGAACAAUAUGAGCAUGGCAUGAACAUAUGAAUCUGACAUGCAACAUGAUGACACUACAUGCACCAUUUAUUCUGUUCGGGUUGCCUCGUAACCAUCACAUGCAUCACUUACCAACGUCGAACAUUACACGAUCAUCUCAGGAUCAAAUCAAGCUUGGUACAAACAAUACCAUAGUAAUCAUUAAAUGACCACAAGGAGCUUGAUCUUUACCCACGAUUCUCGCACAACAUCACGAAUAUCCAACAACUCAGUAUCCUCGAUACCACGGUGAUCUUUCCAGCGAUCACAACCAUGACCAACAGUUGGUCUCAAACGGUGAUCUUUCCGGCAAUCACCACCAUCUUAUCUCAUCAUCGAACAGUGGUUGUUAUUAAGCACAUUAUUAUUAUUAUUAUUAUUAUUAUUAUUAUUAUUAUUAUUAUUAUUAUUAUUAUUAUUAUUAUUAUUGUCACCGUUGACUCACGGUGUGACCGACACGAACUGGGCCCUUAUCCACGGGCACGGCUAUCGGUAGAUUUAAUAUACACUCUGCAGAGGUAGCACACUGUACCCACACCACGGAACCCAUGGCCUCGCACUCCCAUAUGUGUGGACACGACGUUCCGACAAAACUGAUCUACUGCCAUGACACUCUCCCGGCCACUCCGACUCACUCCCCACUAGGCUAGUCCUGGGUGGCCCCGUACCAAAGACACACCGACCACCGUCGUGGCCAACACGUCCCUCACGGGGUCCGGAUCCAUAAUAACAACAACGAACACACAAAGUUAUGUCCGCCUACCUGAUUAGGGUAGAGCGCGCCCAUAACUUUCCCUCGUUGUAGGCACCGACGAGAGGCACGACAAUAGACCCAAUUAGGACCUUCCCAUAAAAGGUAAGCGUGGUUGCACUGGUCAGUUUCGAUAUGGUGGCACCAUGACUCAGCCAACAGUUGUUCAAGUUCAAUUAAAUCCGGUUAAACUUGAAUGCAAUAUGCUGAGCUAUGAUAAAAUAACAUGAUGCAUAUACAAAGCAUGAGCAGGAUAUCAACAUAAGCACGGGAUACAACAUAAAUAUCCACCAUAUCAACUAUGAAUAAUCUCCAACUGAACAUGGCAUAAUGAUGAGCAUAAAUAUUACAGGUGCAACCGUACUCAUAGUAUAACAUGACUAUUAUCACCAACCAUAAAUAACAUGCAAGAACUCAUCAAUAACAUUACUGAGUAAACACUUAACCAACUAGUAGUAAAGGAACAAUGCAUAUUAACAGUACUCAGUAACCGACGUCAGUCAUGCACCGAAGAACAUGACCAACCCAACAUGUACUACUAUCAAGCAUGGAAAUAUGAAAGUAAUACUAGCAACUAGCAGGGCAUGAUAACCAGGUGCAUAACGACAUAGCAAGCAAGUAAGCACUAACCCAGAAAUAUUGCCGAAACAACGAUAACCAUAUUUUAAACAAGCAAUCAUUUAAUAAAUAUUCAAGUUGAAAACCAUGGCUACUGCAUGACUAUCAUGCAAAUGGGUAUUGUGGCUUGCCUGGGGGUGAAGAAGGCACCGGGACGAAAUGCGGUGAAGCCGCGGAAAGAUUGCCGGAAAUAGUUCUUUCUUGGAGGGGCUGUUUAAGUGCAAGGGAAAAAAGGUCAUUUUCACAGUUUUAAACCAUAAUGAAAAUGAAACCAACAGAACGGGCUCGAUGAAAUGAAGAUGUGGGCUUUGGAAUCACCUCAUUUGGAGUUGGGAGUAAAAAGAUAUAAGGGUUUUUCUGCCAGGGUCCUAUCUGUAUUAAAAUCAUCACAAACAGGCCCUCAGCGGGAAAAACAGAACGCGCACUCGAUGUAAUACGCUUUUGGUGAAAUGAAAGGGUACUCUGGCCCACAACCGCAGUUGCUUAC